Molecule: non-coding RNA, 72 nt
Organism: Aedes albopictus (Asian tiger mosquito)
Lineage: Eukaryota; Metazoa; Arthropoda; Insecta; Diptera; Culicidae
Source: Rfam
GGCUCGGUAGCUUAGUUGGUAAAGCACUAGUCUAGCGAAUAAGGGUCGUGAGUUCAAAUCUCACCUGAGCUG